This 83-nucleotide microRNA precursor is filed under the name Olea europaea subsp. europaea. The record is from RNAcentral. Lineage: Eukaryota; Viridiplantae; Streptophyta; Magnoliopsida; Lamiales; Oleaceae.
UGUUAAACAGCUAAACAGUCGGCUGUUGGGCUGUUAACAGCCGACUGUUCAGCUGUCAACAGCCAACUGUUGGCUGUUAAACA